GCUGAUGUAGCUCAGUCGGCAGAGCGGUUGGCUGUUAACCAACAGGUCGAAGGUUCAAACCCUUCCAUUAGCG
Transfer RNA from Paramecium tetraurelia, 73 nucleotides. It matches the Rfam family "tRNA". From Rfam's summary of the family: Transfer RNA (tRNA) molecules are approximately 80 nucleotides in length. NCBI's taxonomy places the organism in Eukaryota, Ciliophora, Oligohymenophorea, Peniculida, Parameciidae. The record is from Rfam.